UGAGUUAUCUCAAUUGAUUGUUCACAGUCAGUUACAGAUUGAACUCCUGUUCUACACUUUCCCCCCUUCUCACU
This 74-nucleotide non-coding RNA is filed under the name Mesocricetus auratus (golden hamster). Lineage: Eukaryota; Metazoa; Chordata; Mammalia; Rodentia; Cricetidae. The record is from RNAcentral. RNAcentral also lists the same sequence under 2 other names.